GCCGGCCUGGUGGGCUCGCUGGGCUUCAACAUCGGCGCCGGCGCCU
This 46-nucleotide transfer RNA is filed under the name Chlamydomonas leiostraca. RNAcentral's name for it is "partial Selenocysteine transfer RNA". Lineage: Eukaryota; Viridiplantae; Chlorophyta; Chlorophyceae; Chlamydomonadales; Chlamydomonadaceae. The record is from RNAcentral.